UAUAUCGCAUGAUGACUUUAUUUUUUUGUAAAUCUUGAAACAGUGUUAAUUCAAUUAAAUUGGCCAAUUAAUUAUUAAUCAGUGUUUUUAAGUGAUUUUGUACAGAAAUUUCUACUGUUGAGGCGACUAUGAUGGCUUUAAAUUUUUCUUAAUAAAAGUCAUCAGCCUUUAAUUCGUGAACUAAAGUAGCUAUGCAAAUUGAUACGCCGAUUUAUUUAAAUAUCAACCAGUAACUCAAGUUGGACCAAGAUGGUAAACCUGAUACUCAACAAUUCCAGACAAUUUGUUUCUUCGUUGAAAAAGUCUAUUUCAAAGUAACGUGAUUGACGCCAUUCAAUUUUCGGUUAGGAAAAGUAGGUUGGACCUUACCUGUUGAUGUAACCAUUUCGCUGAGUACAUCGUAUAUGAACCAUGUGAGACGUUUUCUCCUCGUCAAGGUAGAGACGUUGCUGGUGGAUGAUUUACCGAUAUUUGCUGUUGACAAACUGACAGUUAUCAACUUGACAUAAGCAGAUUAACAGCUGGAAGAUUAACAAUUUCAAAGGAAUGUUAAUAUCUAGAGCAUUGCCAAUGAUCACUGUGGGCUUUUCAUUGAUUUCAGUACGAGUCAGCUUCAGUCUGUCAAUUUGUUGGAUUGUUCAACCAAAAAAUAGUGAUAGACCAAAUUUAAAAGGCUAACCCAAUCCUUUUCGCAUAUUCAUAAACACCUUAACAUUCGUUUUGGAAAAUGGACCAAAAAUCUCAAUAUACGCUGCCAAUGGAAACCGCUCCGAUAUCUUGCCUUUCAGCCAAGCUAUCAUCAUGUCUAUCAAUAGGAUCAUAAUUCCAAUCAUCGUUACUUUAAUUAUCUUCUUGAUGGCCCAACAACAGCGCAACAAUAAUAUUUGGCCAUUUGUUUUUAAAAUAAAUGCAAUCAAUUUUAUUGGAAAUAUUUUCACUCAGCUUAACAAGUGAGGUUGAGUGGGUGGUCAGCAAGAGAAAAGGGGAAAAAUGAAUUUUUCUGGAAACUAAUGAAUCCCAAUGAAGAUAAUGUUGGCUGGUAAAGUAAUUUAAAUGUCUAUCAUACAAAGGGGCAAAUGAUUAAGAUGAUAAUGAUGCUGAUUUUAAAUCAAAGGAGAAAAAAAAGCAAAAAAAGCCAAACCAGAGAUGAAAAUAAUUUUGGUUAACAAGAACGGAAACAAAGAAAGAGAGAGAGAAACAUUAAUAUUUUCAUUUCCUCUGCCUUUUUCAACAUCCUUCAAGUUAUCCUGUUGAUGGUAAAAUGGCAACUUUCUUAACCUUCAAUUGUCGAUGAGACAAAAAGAAACUGUUUCCUUUGAAAAUCUUGAAACAUCAAUCACUAGAGUUGGUCACAACUUGAUGGCCAGUGUGCCGUUAACUCAACACUGGACACUUGAUGAUCACCAUUUGUUGUUCAUCUUUUCAACUUUUUUUCGUUUCCCUUGACCAUAAAUUUUAGACUGUAUUUUGAUACGCAAGGAAUCAGAUUUUUUUUUGGUUUCAUUCAAUUCUCAGAUUUGUUUUCAUCUGUUAUCAACCAUUUUCCAUCCGCAGACCCUUUGUUUGGACUCAAACCGCAAACUGUAAUUGGAUAUUAAACUCAUCUUCACCGAUUCGCCACAAAGAGGCUAGCACUGAAACAAAAGGUUGCCAUUUGAAGCGCAUUUUUCACGCAUCGUUUCACGAGUUUAGCUUUUUUUUCAAACUCACAGAUUCUGGUUACACUUUUGUUGUUAACUGAAAAGAGGUGAAAAUCCAGAAGAAAAAAUUUCUCUGUAAAAGCUUUCAAUCUUACCAUAAAAUAAUUAGCUUCAGACUCUAGUCAAUCAUCAGCAUUUCAAGUGGCAGAAGCGAUGGAAUUUUUGAGCUCGAAUUUUGAAACCUUUUUCUUAACUACAGUUUCUAAUUGUCAUUAUGUAUACAUUGGAAAUGUCAAAUUGCUUUUGAAAUUAAAAUUUUGCAUGAUUGAUUGAUCCAAUUUCAUGCCAUCUUACGUUUGUUAAACUAACUAAAGCUUUAUUUUUUUAUAUAUUUUUUUGAUGUGAUUUUUAGCAGUUUAAGUAAAAUCUAUCUUUCACUUUUUAUGUUUAAAGAUGAUUAAGGUUCCCAUUUUUUCAUGUAAUUGACUUUUUUUCCUUCUUCCUUGACAAUUUGUUAACUAUUUUAGCGUCAAUUGAAACUUAAAGUUUUGGACAUUUACGGAGCCUGAUUGUGAUAAUAAAUUGUAUUGUAUUAUAGAUGCUGUUUUAGGAUAGACAUGGUAGAUGAACUCACCUUGGCAAUUAGAUAUGAAGAAAGUGACGUGAAAGUAAAGCUAAUCAGCUAACUCAAGUUGGACCAAGAUGGUGAAACUGAUACUCAACAAAUCCAGACUAAUUUGUUUCUUCGUGAAAAAUGUCUCUUCCAAAGUAGCUAAUUGAACAAAUCCAAUGAUCAGUUAAGUAGGAAAAGUAGGUUGGACCUUACCUGUUGAUGUAACCAUUUCUUGAGUACGUCGCAUGUGAACCAUGUGCUUCUUUCCUUGUCAGGUUAUAUCUUUUGAAUGGUUUACAGAUAUUGGCCAUUUUUACAUUCCUUGGCUCGUUUGGGGAUGAUUUUUAAACAGCCCCAGAAAGUUCAGACUGGUGAGACUCACUCAAAUGGAAAAGCUUUGGUUUUUGAAAUUGAAAGAUCAUUCAAGGAUACAAGUUGUUACAUGAAUCUACUUUGCAAAUUUGAUUUCUCUAGAACAAACUGUUUUAAAAUUUAUAACCACAACGUGCGUCAAGGAUAUAAAAAAUGCUUUGUUGACAAACCGAUAGUUAUCAACCUGACAUAAGCAGAUUAAUACACAGCUGGAAGAUUAACAAUUUCAAGGAAUGUUAGCAACUCUGGUCUUAUCAAUGAUUGACAUUACUCCUGAGUUGAAACCUUUGGUAAUGUUUCAGUGUUUUAUGGCAACUUAAUGAUCACUGUUGGUUGUUGCAUGCGGCAAGGGUUAAACAUUGACCAAAAAUGCGUUCUAAUGGAUAUUUCUGGUUCUCUUAAAGGCAGCUUCUGAUUCACCAGUUUCAGGUGUCUAAAGGCCAACUAUCAAAGAGUAUUACAAUCAUAGAUUUGACUAGAUCCGUAUAUAUAUUGGAAAUCACACUGGAAAUCAAGUUGAAGAGCAGUGCUUUUGAAGAGUCUGGAUACGCUCAUCUCAAGAAGCCCAUUAGAUCCGAGCUUUGAUCAUUGAGAGGUUGAUAAGUCAUUAAUUUUAGCAACUAUCAGCUGACUAUCAAGACUAAAGUAUUUCACCAAUUCUCUUCAUAAUGUUUUGCAAUCAACCAUUAAUUUUGCUUUUCAAACAAGACAAUUGAGAAUAGAGCCACUUUACACACUCGUCUUCAAUCAUGGUGUAUAAACAUUCCAACGAUGGUGAAUGAAAUUUCCAGUAAACAGUUAACCUGGUCCAUCAAUCACCCACCCGGUUCAUUAGUGAAAGUAAUAAUUGAAAAUUACGAGUGAGUUAAUUUGACUCUUGUAACAGUUCAAUAUUUACUCUACUUUUUGACUAUCAAGUAUUCCAAUUGAAUAGAGCUGAUACAAACCUGGGAAACAUGGAAAAUAUAAAAAAAAGCAAAACAAAACCUGAUGUACUAUUAAUACAAAGAAAAGUAACAAAGUCAACAACAAUCAUUGACUCAAUCCAUGUAACAACAUAAAUAAUGAUUGCGAGGCCAACAACAACAUCAACAAACCUAGGAAUCUCAAUUGAUCGAGAGGAAACAAACCAUCUAAAAUUAAUCUGUUUUCAUGAUUUACUUCCACAUAUUAUGAUGAUAUUAAAUGAUACUUGAUAUUUA
This is a non-coding RNA of Tetranychus urticae (two-spotted spider mite), 3827 nucleotides long. The record is from RefSeq and is a predicted model, not a curated record. Lineage: Eukaryota; Metazoa; Arthropoda; Arachnida; Trombidiformes; Tetranychidae.